Molecule: ribosomal RNA, 715 nt
Filed under: uncultured Fusobacteriota bacterium
Lineage: Bacteria; Fusobacteriati; Fusobacteriota
Description: bacterial SSU rRNA
Rfam family: Bacterial small subunit ribosomal RNA
Source: RNAcentral
UGACAGAAUGCUUAACACAUGCAAGUCGACUCGAGUCUUCGGACUUGGGUGGCGCACGGGUGAGUAACGCGUAAAGAACUUGCCUCUUAGACCGGGACAACAUCUGGAAACGGAUGCUAAUACCGGAUAUUAUGGUUUUUUCGCAUGGAGGAAUCAUGAAAGCUAGAUGCGCUAAGAGAGAGCUUUGCGUCCCAUUAGCUAGUUGGUGAGGUAACGGCCCACCAAGGCAAUGAUGGGUAGCCGGCCUGAGAGGGUGAACGGCCACAAGGGGACUGAGACACGGCCCUUACUCCUACGGGAGGCAGCAGUGGGGAAUAUUGGACAAUGGACCACAAGUCUGAUCCAGCAAUUCUGUGUGCACGAUGACGUUUUUCGGAAUGUAAAGUGCUUUCAGUCGGGAAGAAGUCAGUGACGGUACCGACAGAAGAAGCGACGGCUAAAUACGUGCCAGCAGCCGCGGUAAUACGUAUGUCGCAAGCGUUAUCCGGAUUUAUUGGGCGUAAAGCGCGUCUAGGCGGCAAGGAAAGUCUGAUGUGAAAAUGCGGAGCUCAACUCCGUAUGGCGUUGGAAACUGCCUUACUAGAGUACUGGAGAGGUAGGCGGAACUACAAGUGUAGAGGUGAAAUUCGUAGAUAUUUGUAGGAAUGCCGAUGGGGAAGCCAGCCUACUGGACAGAUACUGACGCUAAAGCGCGAAAGCGUGGGUAGCAAACAGG